This 76-nucleotide transfer RNA is filed under the name Bradyrhizobium sp. RNAcentral's name for it is "tRNA-OTHER". Lineage: Bacteria; Pseudomonadati; Pseudomonadota; Alphaproteobacteria; Hyphomicrobiales; Nitrobacteraceae. The record is from RNAcentral.
GGCCCGGUGGCGGAAGCGUCCACGCGAGGACGGUGCAACGUCCUUCAUCCUGGUUCAAGUCCAGGCCGGGCCUCCA